RNAcentral lists this ribosomal RNA (30 nucleotides) under Phytophthora colocasiae. RNAcentral describes it as "partial 28S ribosomal RNA". The record is from RNAcentral. Lineage: Eukaryota; Oomycota; Peronosporomycetes; Peronosporales; Peronosporaceae.
UUGGACCUUGAAUCAGGCCAAAAUACGUCA